AACGAACGCUGGCGGCGCGCCUAAUACAUGCAAGUCGAGCGAGAAGACGUAGCAAUACGUUUGUAAAGCGGCGAACGGGUGAGGAAUACAUGGGUAACCUACCCUCGAGUGGGGAAGUAACUAGCCGAAAGGUUAGCUAAUACCGCGUACGCUCCUUGGACUUCGGUUCAGGGAGGAAAGCGAUACCGCGGGUAUCGCGCUCUUGGAUGGGCUCAUGUCCUAUCAGCUUGUUGGUGAGGUAACGGCUCACCAAGGCUUCGACGGGUAGCUGGUCUGAGAGGACGAUCAGCCACACUGGCACUGCGACACGGGCCAGACUCCUACGGGAGGCAGCAGUAAGGAAUAUUGCGCAAUGGGCGAAAGCCUGACGCAGCGACGCCGCGUGGGGGAGUGAAGGG
RNAcentral lists this ribosomal RNA (398 nucleotides) under uncultured bacterium. RNAcentral's name for it is "bacterial SSU rRNA". It matches the Rfam family "Bacterial small subunit ribosomal RNA", at positions 29 to 415 of the family's 1533-position model. The record is from RNAcentral.